UCCGUAUAAAGUCAUAACCAAAAUUCUCAAAAGAAGAACAAUCAGCAUGGUAUGGGAAUGAAACAAUUAGCACCAAGAAUCAAAGUAAAAGGACGCGGAGCACAUAGAAAAACACGCAAGUAGGCAAACGUAGGUACAAGCAUGUACGGUUAGGGGUUUUCAUCAAAUUUUAACACAAUUCUUAGAAGUAGUACUGAAAACCAGGGAUUAAUGCUAAGGACUAGGAGAAUAGAUUACUUUAGAUAGGGGUCAUGAAACCCUAGAAAUAGAAACUGCAGUGUAAAACCCAACUCUUCGAAGUAACCAAACAACCCAGUCAUCAAAGAAACAAACAAACAAACCAGUAAAAUAAAUAACCCAACGACUAUAUGGCACUCAGAAACUGUAGAGGAACAGUUUUGAAGAAAAGGUUAGAAACCCUUGUCUAGAAGAGUCAAAUUUUUUUUGAAGUACUCCAAGAAACUAAGUAGAUGUAGAGUAGAAAACAAGGAAAUCAAACUGAAAGUCAUUUAAAGAGGCGAGAUUAAAGAGAAAAAUUUGGGUUUUCAAACAGAUUAUAGAAACGAAGAACCUGGCUAUGAAACUCGCAUACGAUGCCCUAGAACAUGGGUUUUCAAACAGAUUAUAGAAACGAAGAACCUGGCUGUGAAACUCGCAUGCGAUGCCGUAGAAGGCAUCCUCGUUCAAGGAUUAUCGGAAAAACACCGGAAACAUUCCUCAAAAGAGAGCUUCAGUCCCCGUCCUCCAUGUCGGAAGUUGCUAGGCUUCAAGCUUGAGAGAAGACUAUGAUACAGGGACGCCAUGGUUGCUGGGAAUCAAGAGGAGUGAGGGAGGAGUAAGUAAAUGUGGCAAUGGAGGCCAUGGGAGAACCAGAAGGUUCUAGAGAACAUCUGUGAGUGAAAGGGGGAUACAAGGGC
Molecule: long non-coding RNA, 917 nt
Filed under: Nicotiana benthamiana
Lineage: Eukaryota; Viridiplantae; Streptophyta; Magnoliopsida; Solanales; Solanaceae
Description: long non-coding RNA (NBEN_LNC020628)
Source: RNAcentral